Molecule: ribosomal RNA, 486 nt
Filed under: Malassezia japonica
Lineage: Eukaryota; Fungi; Basidiomycota; Malasseziomycetes; Malasseziales; Malasseziaceae
Description: LSU rRNA
Rfam family: Eukaryotic large subunit ribosomal RNA
Source: RNAcentral
AAUCUCGAGACGCGUUUUCCGCGCGGCGCUAUGGACAAGUUCCUUGGAACAGGACAUCGUAGAGGGUGAAAAUCCCGUACUUGCCAUGGAUGCACCGUGCUUUGUGAUACGUGCUCAAAGAGUCGAGUUGUUUGGGAUUGCAGCUCAAAAUGGGUGGUAGACUCCAUCUAAAGCUAAAUAUCGGGGAGAGACCGAUAGCGAACAAGUACCGUGAGGGAAAGAUGAAAAGCACUUUGGAAAGAGAGUUAAAAGUACGUGAAAUUGUCGAAAGGGAAGCGCUUGAAGUCAGCCAUGCCGCUCAGGACUCAGCCUGGCUUUUGCUUGGUGUACUUCCUGGGUAGCAAGUCAGCAUUGGUUUGGACCGUCGGAGAAGCAUGGCAGGAAUGUGACGCCCUCGGGCGUGUUAUAGCCUGCCAUUGGAUACGCCGGUCUAGACCAAGGAACGCAGUGCGCCUUACGGCGGGUCUUCGGACACCUUCGCACUUA